This 461-nucleotide ribosomal RNA is filed under the name uncultured bacterium. RNAcentral describes it as "partial 16S ribosomal RNA". It matches the Rfam family "Bacterial small subunit ribosomal RNA", at positions 338 to 795 of the family's 1533-position model. The record is from RNAcentral.
CCUACGGGUGGCAGCAGUGAGGAAUAUUGGUCAAUGGGCGGGAGCCUGAACCAGCCAAGUCGCGUGAGGGAAGAAGGUACUGCGUAUCGUAAACCUCUUUUGUCAGGGAAUAAAGUCGGGGACUAGUCCCUGUUUGAGUGUACCUGAUGAAAAAGCAUCGGCUAACUCCGUGCCAGCAGCCGCGGUAAUACGGGGGAUGCAAGCGUUAUCCGGAUUUAUUGGGUUUAAAGGGUGCGUAGGCUGUGAGGUAAGUCAGCGGUGAAAUGCCCCCGCUCAACGGGGUGAAGUGCCAUUGAUACUGCCUUGCUGGAGUACGGUUGCGGUGGGCGGAAUGUGUGGUGUAGCGGUGAAAUGCAUAGAUAUCACGCAGAACACCGAUUGCGAAGGCAGCUCACGAAUCCGCGAUUGACACUGAUGCACGAAAGCGUGGGUAUCAAACAGGAUUAGAUACCCUUGUAGUC